RNAcentral lists this transfer RNA (74 nucleotides) under Pharomachrus auriceps. RNAcentral describes it as "tRNA-Ser". It matches the Rfam family "tRNA". From Rfam's summary of the family: Transfer RNA (tRNA) molecules are approximately 80 nucleotides in length. Their secondary structure includes four short double-helical elements and three loops (D, anti-codon, and T loops). Further hydrogen bonds mediate the characteristic L-shaped molecular structure. tRNAs have two regions of fundamental functional importance: the anti-codon, which is responsible for specific mRNA codon recognition, and the 3' end, to which the tRNAs corresponding amino acid is attached (by aminoacyl-tRNA synthetases). tRNAs cope with the degeneracy of the genetic code in two manners: having more than one tRNA (with a specific anti-codon) for a particular amino acid; and 'wobble' base-pairing, i.e. permitting non-standard base-pairing at the 3rd anti-codon position. Lineage: Eukaryota; Metazoa; Chordata; Aves; Trogoniformes; Trogonidae. The record is from RNAcentral.
AAGAAAGAAGCAUAUGUGGUUUAAUGCAGUUGGCUUGAAACCAGCGUAUGAGGGUUCAAUUCCUUCCUUUCUUG